Molecule: ribosomal RNA, 497 nt
Filed under: uncultured bacterium
Lineage: Bacteria
Description: partial 16S ribosomal RNA
Rfam family: Bacterial small subunit ribosomal RNA
Source: RNAcentral
GAUGAACGCUGGCGGCGUGCCUAAUACAUGCAAGUCGAGCGAACGGACGAGAAGCUUGCUUCUCUGAUGUUAGCGGCGGACGGGUGAGUAACACGUGGAUAACCUACCUAUAAGACUGGGAUAACUUCGGGAAACCGGAGCUAAUACCGGAUAAUAUUUUGAACCGCAUGGUUCAAUAGUGAAAGACGGUCUUGCUGUCACUUAUAGAUGGAUCCGCGCUGCAUUAGCUAGUUGGUAAGGUAACGGCUUACCAAGGCAACGAUGCAUAGCCGACCUGAGAGGGUGAUCGGCCACACUGGAACUGAGACACGGUCCAGACUCCUACGGGAGGCAGCAGUAGGGAAUCUUCCGCAAUGGGCGAAAGCCUGACGGAGCAACGCCGCGUGAGUGAUGAAGGUCUUCGGAUCGUAAAACUCUGUUAUUAGUGAAGAACAUAUGUGUAAGUAACUGUGCACAUCUUGACGGUACCUAAUCAGAAAGCCACGGCUAACUACGUG